RNAcentral lists this ribosomal RNA (493 nucleotides) under uncultured bacterium. Its description in RNAcentral is "partial 16S ribosomal RNA". It matches the Rfam family "Bacterial small subunit ribosomal RNA", at positions 29 to 507 of the family's 1533-position model. The record is from RNAcentral.
ACGAACGCUGGCGGCGCGCUUAACACAUGCAAGUCGAACGGGAAGGCCUGCUUUCCCUUGUGGAUUGCGGGUACUCGAGUGGCGAACGGGUGAGUAACACGUGAGUGAUCUGCCCCCAACUUGGGUAUAAGCCUGGGAAACUGGGUCUAAUUCCCGAUAGGACUGCAGGGUGGUGCCUGUGGUGGAAAACGAUUUUCUAGUGGUUGGGGAUGAGCUCGCGGCCUAUCAGCUUGUUGGUGGGGUAAUGGCCUACCAAGGCGGCGACGGGUAGCCGGCCUGAGAGGGUGGACGGCCACAUUGGGACUGAGAUACGGCCCAGACUCCUACGGGAGGCAGCAGUGGGGAAUAUUGCACAAUGGGCGGAAGCCUGAUGCAGCGACGCCGCGUGGGGGAUGACGGCCUUCGGGUUGUAAACUCCUUUCGACCGCGAGGAAGCCACCUGGUUGGAAGGGUGGUGACGGUAGUGGUAGAAGAAGCACCGGCUAACUACGUG